Long non-coding RNA from Hibiscus syriacus, 129 nucleotides. RefSeq lists it as uncharacterized. Lineage: Eukaryota; Viridiplantae; Streptophyta; Magnoliopsida; Malvales; Malvaceae. The record is from RefSeq and is a predicted model, not a curated record. The transcript has 3 exons.
GGGGAGGAACAGAGGGACCUGGUUUAUAUGACUUUCAAAGUCUCAAAUGAACUAACUGUAAAACAGUCCAUGUUGGAAAGAGAGAAAGUACAAAAGAAAAAAAAGGAGAAAAAAGAAAAGAAAGUAAAG